Molecule: non-coding RNA, 342 nt
Organism: Pelobates cultripes (western spadefoot toad)
Lineage: Eukaryota; Metazoa; Chordata; Amphibia; Anura; Pelobatidae
Source: the annotation of a GenBank genome assembly
CCACCAUUAACCCCUGGGAACUACCAAACCCCUCCACGGUACAACAAUGCCCGAUCUUUCAUCAGGUGCCACACAUGUAACCAGCAGGGCCACAUGCAGAGAGACUGUCCCAGAAACAGAAACCGCUCCACGUGGAAUACUCCAACUAAUUCCCCUGCAAACCGGGCAGCAGUACACUGCUACCAGAGUGAGCCUCGACAACCUUUCUUCGGGAUCCGGUCUAAUGAAGAAUCUUUGGGCACCCUCCACGAGGUUAACCCAGUACAAGCAGCUGCAGACAACCGACAGGGACACCGCCAAGGGGUACACACAGAGGGAAAACGCCUUCAGGGUCUGCGUUCU